Molecule: ribosomal RNA, 467 nt
Filed under: uncultured bacterium
Lineage: Bacteria
Description: partial 16S ribosomal RNA
Rfam family: Bacterial small subunit ribosomal RNA
Source: RNAcentral
GAUGAACGCUGGCGGCGUGCUUAACACAUGCAAGUCGAACGGAAAGGCCCAAGCUUGCUUGGGUACUCGAGUGGCGAACGGGUGAGUAACACGUGGGUGAUCUGCCCUGCACUUCGGGAUAAGCCUGGGAAACUGGGUCUAAUACCGGAUAGGACCACUUCUUGGAUGUUGUGGUGGAAAGUUUUUUCGGUGUGGGAUGAGCUCGCGGCCUAUCAGCUUGUUGGUGGGGUAAUGGCCUACCAAGGCGUCGACGGGUAGCCGGCCUGAGAGGGUGUACGGCGACAUUGGGACUGAGAGACGGCCCAGACUCCUACGGGAGGCAGCAGUGGGGAAUAUUGCACAAUGAGCGCAAGCCUGAUGCAGCGACGCCGCGUGGGGGAUGACGGCCUUCGGGUUGUAAACUCCUUUCGCUAGGGACGAAGCGUUUUGUGACGGUACCUGGAGAAGAAGCAUCGGCUAACUACGUG